GGCGUAGGUGGUCUUGCAAGUCAGGAGUGAAAGCCCCGGGCUCAACCCAGGAAGUGCUUUUGAAACUGCAAGACUUGAAUGUGGGAGAGGGUAGUAGAAUUCCAGGUGUAGUGGUGAAAUACGUAGAUAUCUGGAGGAAUACCGGUGGCGAAGGCGGCUACCUGGCCCAACAUUGACACUGAGGCCCAAAAGCGUGGGGAUCAAACA
This 207-nucleotide ribosomal RNA is filed under the name uncultured bacterium. RNAcentral's name for it is "partial 16S ribosomal RNA". It matches the Rfam family "Bacterial small subunit ribosomal RNA", at positions 568 to 774 of the family's 1533-position model. The record is from RNAcentral.